Molecule: non-coding RNA, 45 nt
Filed under: Schistosoma mattheei
Lineage: Eukaryota; Metazoa; Platyhelminthes; Trematoda; Strigeidida; Schistosomatidae
Source: RNAcentral
AUCCAAACAACGAAUCCCAAGUAGGACGAAACGCGUGUCCUGGAU